CACCUGAUCAGCAUGCCGCGUGUGUGAAGAAGGCCUUCGGGUUGUAAAGCACUUUUGUCCGGAAAGAAAACGCCGUGGUUAAUACCCGUGGCGGAUGACGGUACCGGAAGAAUAAGCACCGGCUAACUACGUGCCAGCAGCCGCGGUAAUACGUAGGGUGCAAGCGUUAAUCGGAAUUACUGGGCGUAAAGCGUGCGCAGGCGGUCCGCUAAGACAGAUGUGAAAUCCCCGGGCUUAACCUGGGAACUGCAUUUGUGACUGGCGGGCUAGAGUAUGGCAGAGGGGGGUAGAAUUCCACGUGUAGCAGUGAAAUGCGUAGAGAUGUGGAGGAAUACCGAUGGCGAAGGCAGCCCCCUGGGCCAAUACUGACGCUCAUGCACGAAAGCGUGGGGAGCAAACAGGAUUAGAUACCCUGGUAGUCCACGCCCUAAACGAUGUCAACUAGUUGUCGGGUCUUCAUUGACUUGGUAACGUAGCUAACGCGUGAAGUUGACCGCCUGGGGAGUACGGUCGCAAGAUUAAAACUCAAUG
Molecule: ribosomal RNA, 531 nt
Filed under: uncultured bacterium
Lineage: Bacteria
Description: bacterial SSU rRNA
Rfam family: Bacterial small subunit ribosomal RNA
Source: RNAcentral